AAGAAAGAAGAAGCAACCCGCUUCUCGCCUCGUUAACGGAACGUUUUCAGGCAAACAUUUCAAACACUAUAUCACGUUCGUCGUGAUUUUGGAUGUGCGGGCCUUGCUUUCUAGCAUGCCCGUUUUUU
RNAcentral lists this small RNA (128 nucleotides) under Listeria grayi. RNAcentral describes it as "Ribosomal protein L20 leader". Lineage: Bacteria; Bacillati; Bacillota; Bacilli; Caryophanales; Listeriaceae. The record is from RNAcentral.